RNAcentral lists this ribosomal RNA (253 nucleotides) under uncultured bacterium. RNAcentral describes it as "partial 16S ribosomal RNA". It matches the Rfam family "Bacterial small subunit ribosomal RNA", at positions 524 to 776 of the family's 1533-position model. The record is from RNAcentral.
UACGUAGGGUGCAAGCGUUAAUCGGAAUUACUGGGCGUAAAGGGUGCGCAGGCGGUCGUGCAAGUCAGAUGUGAAAUCCCCGGGCUCAACCUGGGAAUGGCAUUUGAGACUGCCCGACUGGAGUGAAUCAGAGGGGGGCAGAAUUCCACGUGUAGCAGUGAAAUGCGUAGAGAUGUGGAGGAACACCGAUGGCGAAGGCAACCCCCUGGGAUAGCACUGACGCUCAUGCACGAAAGCGUGGGGAGCAAACAGG